This is a long non-coding RNA of Alligator mississippiensis (American alligator), 94 nucleotides long. It matches the Rfam family "HOX antisense intergenic RNA myeloid 1 conserved region 4". NCBI's taxonomy places the organism in Eukaryota, Metazoa, Chordata, Crocodylia, Alligatoridae. The record is from Rfam.
GGGGUUGGAAUGUAGUGGUUUAAAAAUUACAUGUUUAGCAUAUAUGAAUGUUGAAAAUACAAGCCAGGGACUGGAAGCUGGCUAAGGAGCUCCC